This is a long non-coding RNA of Ipomoea nil (Japanese morning glory), 2228 nucleotides long. RefSeq lists it as uncharacterized. The transcript is spliced from 2 exons. Lineage: Eukaryota; Viridiplantae; Streptophyta; Magnoliopsida; Solanales; Convolvulaceae. The record is from RefSeq and is a predicted model, not a curated record.
CCCCCCCCCCAAAACGAUUUAGCUUUAUUAUAGUUAGGACUAAUAAAUCUUUAUGUGAGAAAUUUUCUAAGCUCAUGCAGAACAGGUUUGGAAUGAGCAUGAUGGGUGAGUUGAACUAUUUUCUUGGACUUCAAGUAAAACAAAUGAAAGAAGGAAUUUUCGUAAACCAAGCCAAGUACACUAAAGAUCUUAUCAAAAAGUUUGGCUUAGAAGGAAAAGGCUCUGUCAAAAUUCAUGAGCACUUCAUCAAGAUUGGAUAAAGAUGACGAAGGAAAAGACGUUGACCAAAUAAAGUAUGGUGGAAUGAUUGGAUCUCUACUAUACGUAACUGCAAGUAGACCCGAUAUAUCUUACUCAGUAGGUGUAUGUGCAAGAUUUCAAUCAAAGCCCAAAGAAAGUCACCUUGCUACCAAAAAGAUCAUCAGAUAUCUAAAAGGAACAAUGGGAUUAUGGUAUUCCAAAGAAGGUAACUUUAUAUAUGUAUAUGUGUGCUGUGGAUGAAUAUGAAUACUUAGAAUAGUAUUUGUUGUGGAGAAUACUUCAAUUCAAGCCGUGUAAAGGGAACUCCCCUUUCACGUUCAAAUUGGGGCAAUGUAACCAUUUCUUGAUGAGUUUUCCAGCAACUCAGGCAGUUUGCCUAUGUAGCAUUUUAGCUGGGUAUGUUUUCUCAUUUCAAGUGAAGUUAUAAAAGGGCGUGGUAUUGGGAUUGCUGCAAUGAGAAAGGGAGAAAGAAGAUUGUAUACUAUUCUAGCCAAUAUGGUUUCAUGGCAGAGAUUAGGUAAAAGGAAUGGGAUUGAGGGUGCAAAAGUAUUUAACAAUGCUUUUGUAUGAGGGGACAGAUCAGGGUGUCCUGUAAGGAGAUUAAGGAGGUUUCCCCCCUACCAUGUCAAAAGCAUGGUGUUCUUUGAUAACAGUGCUUGAUUGAAAUUUUGAGGCAUAGAUUUGCUUGACUGGGCAAUUUGUGGAAAACUUGGUACUAGGUAAGAUUAAUCUCAAUAGGUGCUGGAAUUAGUAGACUGCAAAAGAUAAUAAUAUUUAUAUGCUUGGAUAACUAUAAACUAGAACAAUUUUCGGUGGUGCUUCUUGACUAGGAUAAGGCGUAGUAUUUGUUAGUAGUUUCUUUCCAGUUUAGGAAAUUAGUAUUGUAGAGGAAGAAGAUAACUUAGUUUUCAUGGAUGAAGGCAUGAAGCAUCUUGAGAACCUAGUGGAAAGAGUAUAUUGUAUAUAAAAACGUGGUUACAAAUGUGCUAUAAAUUUGUACUCCUAAUCAAAUGUCUAUUUUCCAUUCAAAUUGACUGUCUCCAUGCUCUGUACAACAGAAGCUCUACUGUAUGUCUGUAUAAACGCAUAAAACUUUUAUUUGCCUGUAAAGGAAGUAAAUAUCAGGUGUUUACCCUUUGUCUCUCCUAUGGCCUCAUGUUGUUUAUAAGUAUGAUCUUACAUGCUUGGUCUUAUCCUUCUUUUUAAUUUCAUAAGUACGUCUAGUUUUAUCUAUUGUGUGGACAAUCUUCUGAAUUCAUAUACAACCACCGAGCAAUUUUUGUAGGGUAGUGGAUCAGCAACCCAAAAUGAAUUUUCAUAUAUGUCAUGGAAUAGAAAGGUUCAACAGAUAUUGGCGUCCACAUCAUCAAAUGGCACAACUGGUCAGCAAGAAGUCAGCUGAAGGAUGCACUAGUCUCCAUUUGAAGUUUGAAAAAAUUGCCUUUUAAUCUUAAAAUUUUAUUUUCCUUUUCUAUUUCUCUAGUGGUUUGGGAUCUGAGGAAUCAAAAACCUGUGAUAAGGUAUGCCUUAUCCUAAAAUUGGCGCGUUGUUUUGUUCUUUCCAUUAUUUGAUCUCAAAUUAUAACCUACUUUAAAGGGUAAACUUGCAGUUUCUCAGAUUCUCAAAUUCUAUUAGAAUCCUGAUGUUGCCACUCAACUUGUAGUUGCCUCUGAUGAAGAUACUUCACAUGCAUUGAGGAUGUGGGAUAUGCGAAAUACAAUGUCUCCAGUGAAAGAGCUUACGGGGCAUACCAAAGAGAGUGAAGCUCUGUGAAGAUGUGAUUAUUUAGCAUCUCUAAUGUUUAUUUUUUUGAAAAGCAUUUCUAAUGUAUAACCAAGAAUUUGGUGCAUUUAGAGAACUGCUUCUCCAAUUCCAUCUUGUUGAGUUGGUUGAAUUUGAUUCUUUAUAGUCUUUACAAAGUUGUAUGAAAUAUUUCAUUUUUGUAGUGGUGAUGAAGUCUUUUAAUA